RNAcentral lists this transfer RNA (66 nucleotides) under Sorineuchora nigra. Its description in RNAcentral is "tRNA-Leu". Lineage: Eukaryota; Metazoa; Arthropoda; Insecta; Blattodea; Pseudophyllodromiidae. The record is from RNAcentral.
ACUGUUUUGGCAGAUAAGUGCGGUAAAUUUAGAAUUUAUCAAUGUAGAUCUUACCUACAAAUAGUA